Molecule: ribosomal RNA, 447 nt
Filed under: uncultured bacterium
Lineage: Bacteria
Description: bacterial SSU rRNA
Rfam family: Bacterial small subunit ribosomal RNA
Source: RNAcentral
UGGGGAAUUUUGGGCAAUGGGGGAAACCCUGACCCAGCAACGCCGCGUGAAGGAUGAAGUAUUUCGGUAUGUAAACUUCGAAAGAAUAGGAAGAAUAAAUGACGGUACUAUUUAUAAGGUCCGGCUAACUACGUGCCAGCAGCCGCGGUAAUACGUAGGGACCAAGCGUUGUUCGGAUUUACUGGGCGUAAAGGGCGCGUAGGCGGCAUGACAAGUCACUUGUGAAAUCUCUGGGCUUAACCCAGAACGGCCAAGUGAUACUGUCGCGCUAGAGUGCAGAAGGGGCAAUCGGAAUUCUUGGUGUAGCGGUGAAAUGCGUAGAUAUCAAGAGGAACACCUGAGGUGAAGACGGGUUGCUGGCCAAAUACUGACGCUGAGGCGCGAAAGCCAGGGGAGCAAACGGGAUUAGAUACCCUAGUAGUCCCUGAGCGGGCUGGCAAGGCGCAU